GAGGGAGUAACUUUGUCGUCUGUGUUACGUAAGGUGAGAAUUGUGCGUCAGUGGGUGCUCUUCCGGUGAAGUGAUUGUAUGGAUCGUUGUCUUGAAGGUAAUCCUCAGACAUCGGCGAGUCGGUGCGACAAAGGCUCGGCGGUGACCACUAGUACAAAAAUUGUCUUUAAAUUAACGAUUUUAUUUUUAGAUUCUAAUUUUUCUUGAGAGUUUGU
Molecule: long non-coding RNA, 215 nt
Organism: Gossypium arboreum
Lineage: Eukaryota; Viridiplantae; Streptophyta; Magnoliopsida; Malvales; Malvaceae
Exons: 3
Source: RefSeq, a predicted model, not a curated record